AGGAGAAAGCGGAGCGGUUCUUGUGCAGCACGCUGGAAGCUGGAGGCUGGAGCGUGCAGCCUGCGGGAGCCGCGGCUCACUUCGCUAUGGGUUUGUGGCGGCGACUGUGGGUUUCUGGCGGCGACUGAGACUGCAUGGCAGCGAGAGUGGUAUAAAGGCCGCAAGGACCUGAAUGUGCACUCACCAGGCGGCUGCAGCAGUGGUGCUCCAUGCCUCCAAACAUGCCAUCCAGGAACAUGGAGUCCUGACCCAGACAGCACAGAGAGAAGUUGGCACCUUUUACACGGAUGUGGAGGUCUCCAGAUGGCGUCAGGAGAUGCUGCUCAAGUGGCCAGUGUUCCCGAAUCCAGCAAGCCCAGAAAGGCAUCGCACACCAUAGACACCCAGCAGUCCUUCAUCAGUACAGAAGCUGCUAAGGCCAUCAAGCCUGUUGGUCGGAAGUCAGUCCAUCAGAUUUGCUCUGGGCCAGUGGUACUGAGUCUAAGCACUGCGGUGAAGGAGUUAGUAGAAAACAGUCUGGAUGCUGGUGCCACUAAUAUUGAUCUAAAGCUUAAGGAUUAUGGAGUGGAUCUCAUUGAAGUUUCAGACAAUGGAUGUAGGGAAGAAGAAGAAAACUUCAAAGGCUUAACUCUGAAACAUCACACAUCUAAGAUUUAAGAGUUUGCCGACCUAACUCAGGUUGAAACUUUCGGCUUUCAGGCGGAAGCUGUGAGCUCACUUUGUGCACCGACCAAUGUCACCAUUUCUACCUGCCACGCAUUGGCAAAGGUUAGGAUUCGACUGGUGUUUGAUCACAAUGGGAAAAUCAUCCAGAAAACCCCCUACCCCCGCCCCAGAGGGACCACAGUCAGCGUGAAGCAGUUACUUUCUAUGCUACCUAUGCGCCAUAAGGAAUUUCAAAGGAAUGUUAAGAAGUGAGUGAGCGCUCAUGGGAUCUGGUUGUUUAAAAGCGUGCAGCACCUCUGGCUUCACUCUCUCUGUCUCUCCUGCUCCACCAUGGCCAGAUGUGCCUGCUUCCCCUUCACCUUCUGCCAUAAUUGUCAGUUUCCUGAGGCCUCCCCAGCCACGCUUCCUGUACACCCUGCAGAACUGUGAGUCAAUGAAACCUCUUUUCUU
Molecule: RNA transcript, 1116 nt
Organism: Symphalangus syndactylus (siamang)
Lineage: Eukaryota; Metazoa; Chordata; Mammalia; Primates; Hylobatidae
Gene name: putative postmeiotic segregation increased 2-like protein 2
Source: RefSeq, a predicted model, not a curated record